AAGGGUGUAGUUUAAUUUGGUAGAGCGUCGGUCUCCAAAACCGAAAGUUGGGGGUUCAAAUCCCUCCACCCUUG
Molecule: transfer RNA, 74 nt
Filed under: Buchnera aphidicola (Tuberolachnus salignus)
Lineage: Bacteria; Pseudomonadati; Pseudomonadota; Gammaproteobacteria; Enterobacterales; Erwiniaceae
Rfam family: tRNA
About the family: Transfer RNA (tRNA) molecules are approximately 80 nucleotides in length. Their secondary structure includes four short double-helical elements and three loops (D, anti-codon, and T loops). Further hydrogen bonds mediate the characteristic L-shaped molecular structure. tRNAs have two regions of fundamental functional importance: the anti-codon, which is responsible for specific mRNA codon recognition, and the 3' end, to which the tRNAs corresponding amino acid is attached (by aminoacyl-tRNA synthetases). tRNAs cope with the degeneracy of the genetic code in two manners: having more than one tRNA (with a specific anti-codon) for a particular amino acid; and 'wobble' base-pairing, i.e. permitting non-standard base-pairing at the 3rd anti-codon position.
Source: Rfam by way of RNAcentral